GCAAGUCGAGCGAGAAAGAUCUUCGGAUCGAGUACAGCGGCUGACGGGUGAGUAACGCGUAGGAAUCUACCUAGUAGUGGGGGACAACUCGGGGAAACUCGAGCUAAUACCGCAUACGCCCUACGGUGGAAAGCGGGGGACCUUCGGUCAUCGUGCUAUUAGAUGAGCCUGCGUUGGAUUAGCUAGUUGGUGAGGUAAAGGCUCACCAAGGCGACGAUCCAUAGCUGGUCUGAGAGGAUGAUC
This 243-nucleotide ribosomal RNA is filed under the name uncultured bacterium. RNAcentral describes it as "partial 16S ribosomal RNA". It matches the Rfam family "Bacterial small subunit ribosomal RNA", at positions 57 to 305 of the family's 1533-position model. The record is from RNAcentral.